AUUGAACGCUGGCGGCAUGCCUUACACAUGCAAGUCGAACGGCAGCACGGGAGCAAUCCUGGUGGCGAGUGGCGAACGGGUGAGUAAAGUAUCGGAACGUGCCCAGUCGUGGGGGAUAACGUAGCGAAAGUUACGCUAAUACCGCAUACGAUCUAUGGAUGAAAGCGGGGGAUCGCAAGACCUCGCGCGAUUGGAGCGGCCGAUAUCAGAUUAGGUAGUUGGUGGGGUAAAGGCUCACCAAGCCGACGAUCUGUAGCUGGUCUGAGAGGACGACCAGCCACACUGGGACUGAGACACGGCCCAGACUCCUACGGGAGGCAGCAGUGGGGAAUUUUGGACAAUGGGCGAAAGCCCGAUCCAGCCAUGCCGCGUGCAGGAUGAAGGCCUUCGGGUUGUAAACUGCUUUUGUACGGAACGAAAAGGUUUGGGCUAAUAAGCUGAGCUCAUGACGGUACCGUAAGAAUAAGCACCGGCUAACUACGUGCCAGCCGCCACUGUAA
This 500-nucleotide ribosomal RNA is filed under the name uncultured bacterium. RNAcentral's name for it is "partial 16S ribosomal RNA". It matches the Rfam family "Bacterial small subunit ribosomal RNA", at positions 30 to 523 of the family's 1533-position model. The record is from RNAcentral.